GGACCCGCACAAGUAGUGGAGCAUGUGGUUUAAUUCGAAGAUACGCGCAGAACCUUACCAACACUUGACAUGUUCGUCGCGACUUUAAGAGAUUAAAGUUUUCGGUUCGGCCGGACGAAACACAGGUGCUGCAUGGCUGUCGUCAGCUCGUGUCGUGAGAUGUUGGUUAAGUCCCGCAACGAGCGCAACCCUCACUUUUAGUUGCCAUCAUUUAGUUGGGCACUCUGAAAGAACUGCCAGUGAUAAGCUGGAGGAAGGUGGGGAUGACGUCAAGUCCUCAUGGCCCUUACGUGUUGGGCUACACACGUGCUACAAUGGUAUUUACAACAGGAAGCAAGACAGGCGACGAUCAAGCA
RNAcentral lists this ribosomal RNA (356 nucleotides) under uncultured bacterium. RNAcentral describes it as "bacterial SSU rRNA". It matches the Rfam family "Bacterial small subunit ribosomal RNA", at positions 917 to 1269 of the family's 1533-position model. The record is from RNAcentral.